GACGAACGCUGGCGGCGUGCUUAACACAUGCAAGUCGAACGAGAAGGCCCUGCUUUUGUGGGGAGCUCGACUGGCGGACUGGGAAGUAACACGUGAGUAACCUGCCAUUGACUUUGGGCUAACUUCAGGUACCUGGAGCUAAUACCGCAUAGGAGCUCCUGCUUCCUGGUGGGCGUUGGAUAGUUUCGGCGGUUGGGGAUGGACUCGCGGCUUAUCAGCAUGUUGGUGAGGUAGUGGCUUACCAAGGCAUUGACGAGUAGCCGGCCUGAGAGGUUGACCGGCUACACCGGGAUUGAGAUACGGCCCGGACCCCUCUGGGAGGCAACAGUGAGGAAUAUUGUACAAGGCACGGGAGGCAGACGUGGCAACGCCGGGUGUGGGAUGUGGGGUAGCGGGUAGAAAAGCGCUGCCGCCUGGCACGAAGUGUGAGUGACGGUAAUGGGAGAAGAAGCACCGGCUAACUACGUG
RNAcentral lists this ribosomal RNA (468 nucleotides) under uncultured bacterium. RNAcentral describes it as "partial 16S ribosomal RNA". It matches the Rfam family "Bacterial small subunit ribosomal RNA", at positions 28 to 507 of the family's 1533-position model. The record is from RNAcentral.